RNAcentral lists this ribosomal RNA (429 nucleotides) under Streptococcus australis. RNAcentral's name for it is "bacterial SSU rRNA". It matches the Rfam family "Bacterial small subunit ribosomal RNA", at positions 28 to 447 of the family's 1533-position model. Lineage: Bacteria; Bacillati; Bacillota; Bacilli; Lactobacillales; Streptococcaceae. The record is from RNAcentral.
GAUGAACGCUGGCGGCGUGCCUAAUACAUGCAAGUAGAACGCUGAAGGAAGGAGCUUGCUCUUUCCGGAUGAGUUGCGAACGGGUGAGUAACGCGUAGGUAACCUCCCUGGUAGCGGGGGAUAACUAUUGGAAACGAUAGCUAAUACCGCAUAACAGUAGAUAUUGCAUGAUAUCUGCUUGAAAGGGGCAAUUGCUCCACUACCAGAUGGACCUGCGUUGUAUUAGCUAGUUGGUGAGGUAACGGCUCACCAAGGCGACGAUACAUAGCCGACCUGAGAGGGUGAUCGGCCACACUGGGACUGAGACACGGCCCAGACUCCUACGGGAGGCAGCAGUAGGGAAUCUUCGGCAAUGGACGGAAGUCUGACCGAGCAACGCCGCGUGAGUGAAGAAGGUUUUCGGAUCGUAAAGCUCUGUUGUAAGAGAAG